This 397-nucleotide ribosomal RNA is filed under the name uncultured bacterium. RNAcentral describes it as "bacterial SSU rRNA". It matches the Rfam family "Bacterial small subunit ribosomal RNA", at positions 100 to 529 of the family's 1533-position model. The record is from RNAcentral.
GGACGGGUGAGUAACACGUAAAGACUUGCCCUGCAGUCUGGGACAACUAUUGGAAACGAUAGCUAAUACCGGAUAUUGCUGCAUGGCGAAAGCUGUAUGCGCUGCAGGAGAGCUUUGCGUCCCAUUAGUUAGUUGGUGAGGUAACGGCUCACCAAGACCGCGAUGGGUAGCCGGCCUGAGAGGGUGAACGGCCACAAGGGGACUGAGACACGGCCCUUACUCCUACGGGAGGCAGCAGUGGGGAAUAUUGGACAAUGGACCAAAGUCUGAUCCAGCAAUUCUGUGUGCACGAUGAGGUCUUAGGAUUGUAAAGUGCUUUCAAUCGGGAAAAAGAAAGUGAUGGUACCGAUAGAAGAAGCGACGGCUAAAUACGUGCCAGCAGCCGCGGUAAUACGUA